GACGAACGCUGGCGGCGUGCUUAACACAUGCAAGUCGAACGUGAUUUUUGUGGAAAUUCUUUCGGGAAUGGACAUGAAAUGAAAGUGGCGAACGGGUGAGUAACACGUGAGCAACCUACCUUACACAGGGGGAUAGCCGUUGGAAACGACGAUUAAUACCGCAUGAGACCACAGAAUCGCAUGAUAUAGGGGUCAAAGAUUUAUCGGUGUAAGAAGGGCUCGCGUCUGAUUAGCUAGUUGGAAGGGUAAAGGCCUACCAAGGCGACGAUCAGUAGCCGGUCUGAGAGGAUGAACGGCCACAUUGGAACUGAGACACGGUCCAAACUCCUACGGGAGGCAGCAGUGGGGAAUAUUGCACAAUGGGGGGAACCCUGAUGCAGCGACGCCGCGUGAGCGAAGAAGGUUUUCGAAUCGUAAAGCUCUGUCCUAUGAGAAGAUAAUGACGGUAUCAUAGGAGGAAGCCCCGGCUAAAUACUUG
This 478-nucleotide ribosomal RNA is filed under the name uncultured bacterium. Its description in RNAcentral is "partial 16S ribosomal RNA". It matches the Rfam family "Bacterial small subunit ribosomal RNA", at positions 28 to 507 of the family's 1533-position model. The record is from RNAcentral.